This 750-nucleotide ribosomal RNA is filed under the name bacterium LFT20. RNAcentral's name for it is "bacterial SSU rRNA". It matches the Rfam family "Bacterial small subunit ribosomal RNA", at positions 77 to 839 of the family's 1533-position model. The record is from RNAcentral.
AGCUUGCUGGGUGGAUUAGUGGCGAACGGGUGAGUAACACGUGAGUAACCUACCCUUGACUCUGGGAUAAGCCCGGGAAACUGGGUCUAAUACCGGAUAGGAACGUCCACCGCAUGGUGGUUGUUGGAAAGAUUUAUCGGUCAUGGAUGGACUCGCGGCCUAUCAGCUUGUUGGUGAGGUAAUGGCUCACCAAGGCGACGACGGGUAGCCGGCCUGAGAGGGUGACCGGCCACACUGGGACUGAGACACGGCCCAGACUCCUACGGGAGGCAGCAGUGGGGAAUAUUGCACAAUGGGCGAAAGCCUGAUGCAGCGACGCCGCGUGAGGGAUGACGGCCUUCGGGUUGUAAACCUCUUUCAGUAGGGAAGAAGCGAAAGUGACGGUACCUGCAGAAGAAGCACCGGCUAACUACGUGCCAGCAGCCGCGGUAAUACGUAGGGUGCGAGCGUUAUCCGGAAUUAUUGGGCGUAAAGAGCUCGUAGGCGGUUUGUCGCGUCUGUCGUGAAAGUCCGGGGCUUAACCCCGGAUCUGCGGUGGGUACGGGCAGACUAGAGUGCAGUAGGGGAGACUGGAAUUCCUGGUGUAGCGGUGGAAUGCGCAGAUAUCAGGAGGAACACCGAUGGCGAAGGCAGGUCUCUGGGCUGUAACUGACGCUGAGGAGCGAAAGCAUGGGGAGCGAACAGGAUUAGAUACCCUGGUAGUCCAUGCCGUAAACGUUGGGCACUAGGUGUGGGGACCAUUCCACGGUU